CUCCCCUCGGCGGGACUGAAUGAUCAAAACUGGUGGUGAGAAUUUUUCCGGACCGUUUCUAGGCAUCCGCUCUCAAGACGCGUUCCAGCCGACAAAAUUCUCCCCCUUCAUUAUAAAGCCAAAGGACAGGCCAACCUUGAGCCCGGCUGUGUCCCCUGCCGCGCCUUUGUCGGCGCUGAGGCCUGCGAAUGUUGGCUGGUCCUCCGAUUCCUGGAGCACAAGUCGGCCUCAGUUCUCCCCACGGCACGGUCGAACCUGGUUCUUCCAGAACCUUGGUGUUGCUGGCCGCGUGGAUACAUCUUCCCCGUUUUCUCAGCAAGGGUAAGGGGACAGCUAGCAUUCUUUCCAAGGCAUGGAAGUCCAAGUCACCCCAUCGGUUGCCCCGAACCGCCUUUCUCCGAUCGGAGCCCCCGAACUACACCAGCGUCUAAGGUAGUGAAGGGGAUGCCGAGGAUGGCGAGCUCCAAAGGCCGUGGGCAGUUCUAGGCAAGAGUUUCCGCAGGGUCGAACAACCAGGGAGCUCCCUGCCCGGGCGCCGCUAAAACCCGGAGAGGCCGCGCCCGGCACAGCCAUCCUCGCUGCAACUGGACCAGGUGCGGCUCAGCCAGCCCAGUCGAGAGCCAUGAGGACUCACCAGGAAGGCCAGAGACGCGGUGCCAGCGCCCCGCUCGCCACCAGAACCCUGGUGCACGGCUAGGAGAGCCCGGGCCGUUGCGCCAGGCCGGGCCUCGGAGGAUUCCUCCGACUCCUCUCGGCCCCGCCUACGACCCUGGCCUCUUCCUCCGGCCCGGGUCGGGUCUUCCACUCCACUGUUUGGCUCGAAGAGGACGGAGAAGCGCUCAGUGCGCUGGGGGCCGGCCACGGCCAUAAAUCUCCCUCACCAGCCCUCCUUCCGCUGCUCACUGGCGGGUGUUCCAGCCUGGCCACUCGUCCCCGGCCGCCAGGUACCCUGCUCUCCCGGUCACUACGCUGGAAAUCACUGUCAGGAGCUUCCCCGUUCGCCAAAAAGAGGGAGUCGCCUCGCCCAUUCGGUGCCACCACCAGCCAUCCCCUCGAGUGCCGGACCCCGAGGCGGCCUGGGCCUCACGGAUCACCGCCCUGGGUAGGGGCGUGCGGGGGCCAGGUGAAGGCCUGCUGAGGUUUGAAUGGGUGCGCAGCUAUCCGAGCCACCGAGGGGCGACGCCUAGGUCAGGAACAGUGGCUUCUCAGCUGGUCACCUCAACGGACCCUGCCUUAGUCCCGCGCCCUUGGAUCCCUCUUCGCUCGCCACGGGUUCCCCAGCUUGGCGACCCUUGUUUGACGCCCUACCCUCUUGGCACAAAUAACCAAACCAUUGGGAAAACAGGAAUCUGUCGCUUGCAGGUCGAAGGCUAGGCGGGGCGCUGGUUUUUCCACCCUAACAGUCGGGAGGAAGUUGUUGGGAAGAUCUGCAGUAGUAACGACUAAUGUUAUGGGCAUUGUCUGUCUUCUUUGACAGAGGGGCCCGCAGACCUCUCUGCUGGUCCCUGCUUCAGCCAAGCAAGUGGAGGUACUCAGUGGGGACUAACCACCACGAAAGGGGCCGUGGGACGCUGGGUGGGGACAGUUGCGGAGGGGUUGACAAUGCACCUUCUUGGGUGCCUCCCCAAAACCUCACAUGGUGCCAGUGACACAAUUCCGAGCGGGUGACAGAGGAGGCCGGGUGCAGGGGCUUUUGAAACUGGGCCCCGAGGUCGCUCUCACUCAAGGAGCUCCAGCUCCCUCAAAUUUCCAAAAGCACAGUUGGAGGGACCGAGGGCUUCCGGCAGCCAGGCGCGCAGGAAUUUGCGCGCUGGCCCCAGCGACGCCCGGGAGCGCAGAGGCUGCCCAGCCACAUUCCGGCGAACCGCCCCAGCGAGGCCCCAGCCCAGGAAGCGGCUCGGAAAACAAAGCGCUGUGGUCUCAGCCCAAGGUUAAAGUCCACCGCCAGCGCUUUUUCCCCCGGAAUCUGAGAGCGAUAGCGUUUCUCCAAAUAAACCGCCAAUAAAUCAGCUCCCGGGCCGAGCCAACUGAAGAGCUCUGGUGACCUUGGGGAAUACUUCCUGCCUGCCAGACCCAGCAGAGGACAGGCGUGGGGGAGGGGGCCAAUGUCAGCCCGUUCCCCCCACCCCCCAAGAAGAGAGGUGUGCCAAGGACAUUUGUGGGUGUUUAUUAGGGUGUGCGUGCCCAGAGGGGAUGGGCGAGGUUUGGAGCAAGGUUUGGGAAGCCCUGGUUAUUUGGGGACCUCAGUGCGCGGUUGUAAGGAGGUUUGUGAUGCUGGGGGCUGCUUCGGAAAGGCUGACCGAUGAGGGCCUCCAGAGCCACACGGUGCUAGUCCCUGGGGACCCAGCCCCGGACACUCUGGGCCCCUUCGGGGGCCCUGGUCUUUGUCUGGGUGUGACAGGGUGUGUUCGGCUUCGAGCUUGUGUAGAGUGUGACUAAUGGGAUUUAUGGAUGUCAGUGCCAGGGUGACUAAUGGAGGCUUGGCAGCACGUGCUUUUGGCGAGGGCCACUGCACCUAGGUGGGGACCCAGUGCCCCAGGAGGGGGCUGCUGGGUCUCAGAAGCCCCCUCCCCUCCCCCACUAGCUCCCAGCUUGGUCUGCGGCCCCUCCACACACCCCCUGGCAGGCCAGUGCAUGCUGCAGCGCUCCCCGACACAUCCCUCUGCGGCCUGGCCCCCAGAGGCCCUCCAGGCCUCCCAUCUCUCUGACCCGUGUGGUUGGUGCCUCCAGAUCCUGGCCUUCCCACCACCUUGGCAGAGCCCUCCAAUCCGCCUCUCUUUCAUCCUGAAAACUCCCUACACGCACAUUGUACAAGCCCCUUCGGGCUCAGCCCUGGGAUGUGGGUACCAUUCUAUCCAUUCAGUGGCUGCUACACCUUCAGGGUGGGCAGGAAAAGUGACAGACUCAUAGCUAGCAGGGCUGACCUCACCAGGCAGGGUGCUGGGGAGAACAUGCCUUCUUUUUUUGUUGAUUUGGG
Long non-coding RNA from Heterocephalus glaber (naked mole-rat), 2977 nucleotides. Lineage: Eukaryota; Metazoa; Chordata; Mammalia; Rodentia; Bathyergidae. The record is from Ensembl.